RNAcentral lists this ribosomal RNA (614 nucleotides) under Haloplanus sp. GoC4. RNAcentral describes it as "bacterial SSU rRNA". It matches the Rfam family "Archaeal small subunit ribosomal RNA", at positions 376 to 989 of the family's 1478-position model. Lineage: Archaea; Methanobacteriati; Methanobacteriota; Halobacteria; Halobacteriales; Haloferacaceae. The record is from RNAcentral.
GGGACCCGAGUGCGAGGGCAUACAGUCCUCGCUUUUCCCACCGUAAGGUGGUGGAGGAACAAGAGCUGGGCAAGACCGGUGCCAGCCGCCGCGGUAAUACCGGCAGCUCGAGUGAUGGCCGAUCUUAUUGGGCCUAAAGCGUCCGUAGCCGGCCACACAAGUUCGUCGGGAAAUCUGCCCGCUUAACUGGCAGGCGUCCGGCGAAAACUGUGUGGCUUGGGACCGGAAGACCCAACGAGUACGUCUUGGGUAGGAGUGAAAUCCCGUAAUCCUGGACGGACCACCGAUGGCGAAAGCACCUUGGGAAGACGGAUCCGACGGUGAGGGACGAAAGCUAGGGUCUCGAACCGGAUUAGAUACCCGGGUAGUCCUAGCCGUAAACGAUGCCCGCUAGGUGUGGCUCACGCUACGAGUGGGUGCUGUGCCGUAGGGAAGCCGCUAAGCAGACCGCCUGGAAAGUACGUCGGCAAGGAUAAAACUUAAAGGAAUUGGCGGGGGAGCACUACAACCGGAGGAGCCUGCGGUUUAAUUGGACUCAACGCCGGACAUCUCACCAGCAUCGACGACAGCAAUGAAGGUCAGGUUGAUGACCUUGUCAGAGCUCCUGAGAAGAG